CCUACGGGUGGCAGCAGUGGGGAAUAUUGGACAAUGGGCGAAAGCCUGAUCCAGCCAUGCCGCGUGUGUGAAGAAGGCCUUCGGGUUGUAAAGCACUUUCAGUGGGGAAGAAAGCCUUGGGGCUAAUACCCUCGAGGAAGGACAUCACCCACAGAAGAAGCACCGGCUAACUCCGUGCCAGCAGCCGCGGUAAUACGGAGGGUGCGAGCGUUAAUCGGAAUUACUGGGCGUAAAGCGCGCGUAGGCGGUCUGAUAAGCCGGUUGUGAAAGCCCCGGGCUCAACCUGGGAACGGCAUCCGGAACUGUCAGGCUAGAGUGCAGGAGAGGAAGGUAGAAUUCCCGGUGUAGCGGUGACAUGCGUAGAGAUCGGGAGGAAUACCAGUGGCGAAGGCGGCCUUCUGGACUGACACUGACGCUGAGGUGCGAAAGCGUGGGUAGCAAACAGGAUUAGAUACCCCAGUAGUC
This 465-nucleotide ribosomal RNA is filed under the name Vreelandella stevensii. RNAcentral describes it as "partial 16S ribosomal RNA". It matches the Rfam family "Bacterial small subunit ribosomal RNA", at positions 338 to 795 of the family's 1533-position model. The record is from RNAcentral. Lineage: Bacteria; Pseudomonadati; Pseudomonadota; Gammaproteobacteria; Oceanospirillales; Halomonadaceae.